This 72-nucleotide transfer RNA is filed under the name Marmota monax (woodchuck). RNAcentral describes it as "tRNA.Ala". Lineage: Eukaryota; Metazoa; Chordata; Mammalia; Rodentia; Sciuridae. The record is from RNAcentral.
GGGGAUGUGGCUCAAGCGGUAGAGCACUCGCCUGGCAUGUGUAGGGGGCUGGGUUCAAUCCUCAGCACCACA